CCAGUCAGACACCCUGUACUACUUCCGGUUGCUGGCGGAUGGAGGGUCGGCGGGUCAGAGCGAGGCUGUGACUGUCACGUGUUUCACAGCUUGCAAUGAUUCUCCAGCCGCAUAAGGAAUGACAGCGAGGAAGAACCAAGCUAUCAGCGUAACUGUGGCUUUUCUUCUAUCAUUUUCCAUAGACCAAAGACGCAAGAUAUCCCGAACGUUAUGUUAUCUAUAACAUUAGGUGCAUGAAUCUGAAUUUCACGAAACAGAAUACGUUUUUUAACUUACUACACCAGUUAGCUCGUGUACUUUUUGAUAUAAAACGAAUUUUGGGAGUGAACUUCUAUUAGCCCAAAACUUGAACCUAUGUAUAGUCUGUUUGCAAUGAAAACGUACCAAUGAAUUUCACUUUAAACCAAAAGG
Haliotis rubra (blacklip abalone) is the source of this 411-nucleotide long non-coding RNA. RefSeq lists it as uncharacterized. The transcript is spliced from 2 exons. The record is from RefSeq and is a predicted model, not a curated record. Lineage: Eukaryota; Metazoa; Mollusca; Gastropoda; Lepetellida; Haliotidae.